RNAcentral lists this non-coding RNA (27 nucleotides) under Mus musculus (house mouse). Lineage: Eukaryota; Metazoa; Chordata; Mammalia; Rodentia; Muridae. The record is from RNAcentral.
UGUCAGUGACCUACAGGAGAUGCCUCA